Molecule: ribosomal RNA, 1980 nt
Filed under: Staphylococcus aureus
Lineage: Bacteria; Bacillati; Bacillota; Bacilli; Caryophanales; Staphylococcaceae
Description: partial 23S ribosomal RNA
Rfam family: Bacterial large subunit ribosomal RNA
Source: RNAcentral
AAGCUUGCUUGUUGGGGUUGUAGGACACUCUAUACGGAGUUACAAAGGACGACAUUAGACGAAUCAUCUGGAAAGAUGAAUCAAAGAAGGUAAUAAUCCUGUAGUCGAAAAUGUUGUCUCUCUUGAGUGGAUCCUGAGUACGACGGAGCACGUGAAAUUCCGUCGGAAUCUGGGAGGACCAUCUCCUAAGGCUAAAUACUCUCUAGUGACCGAUAGUGAACCAGUACCGUGAGGGAAAGGUGAAAAGCACCCCGGAAGGGGAGUGAAAUAGAACCUGAAACCGUGUGCUUACAAGUAGUCAGAGCCCGUUAAUGGGUGAUGGCGUGCCUUUUGUAGAAUGAACCGGCGAGUUACGAUUUGAUGCAAGGUUAAGCAGUAAAUGUGGAGCCGUAGCGAAAGCGAGUCUGAAUAGGGCGUUUAGUAUUUGGUCGUAGACCCGAAACCAGGUGAUCUACCCUUGGUCAGGUUGAAGUUCAGGUAACACUGAAUGGAGGACCGAACCGACUUACGUUGAAAAGUGAGCGGAUGAACUGAGGGUAGCGGAGAAAUUCCAAUCGAACCUGGAGAUAGCUGGUUCUCUCCGAAAUAGCUUUAGGGCUAGCCUCAAGUGAUGAUUAUUGGAGGUAGAGCACUGUUUGGACGAGGGGCCCCUCUCGGGUUACCGAAUUCAGACAAACUCCGAAUGCCAAUUAAUUUAACUUGGGAGUCAGAACAUGGGUGAUAAGGUCCGUGUUCGAAAGGGAAACAGCCCAGACCACCAGCUAAGGUCCCAAAAUAUAUGUUAAGUGGAAAAGGAUGUGGCGUUGCCCAGACAACUAGGAUGUUGGCUUAGAAGCAGCCAUCAUUUAAAGAGUGCGUAAUAGCUCACUAGUCGAGUGACACUGCGCCGAAAAUGUACCGGGGCUAAACAUAUUACCGAAGCUGUGGAUUGUCCUUUGGACAAUGGUAGGAGAGCGUUCUAAGGGCGUUGAAGCAUGAUCGUAAGGACAUGUGGAGCGCUUAGAAGUGAGAAUGCCGGUGUGAGUAGCGAAAGACGGGUGAGAAUCCCGUCCACCGAUUGACUAAGGUUUCCAGAGGAAGGCUCGUCCGCUCUGGGUUAGUCGGGUCCUAAGCUGAGGCCGACAGGCGUAGGCGAUGGAUAACAGGUUGAUAUUCCUGUACCACCUAUAAUCGUUUUAAUCGAUGGGGGGACGCAGUAGGAUAGGCGAAGCGUGCGAUUGGAUUGCACGUCUAAGCAGUAAGGCUGAGUAUUAGGCAAAUCCGGUACUCGUUAAGGCUGAGCUGUGAUGGGGAGAAGACAUUGAGUCUUCGAGUCGUUGAUUUCACACUGCCGAGAAAAGCCUCUAGAUAGAAAAUAGGUGCCCGUACCGCAAACCGACACAGGUAGUCAAGAUGAGAAUUCUAAGGUGAGCGAGCGAACUCUCGUUAAGGAACUCGGCAAAAUGACCCCGUAACUUCGGGAGAAGGGGUGCUCUUUAGGGUUAACGCCCAGAAGAGCCGCAGUGAAUAGGCCCAAGCGACUGUUUAUCAAAAACACAGGUCUCUGCUAAACCGUAAGGUGAUGUAUAGGGGCUGACGCCUGCCCGGUGCUGGAAGGUUAAGAGGAGUGGUUAGCUUCUGCGAAGCUACGAAUCGAAGCCCCAGUAAACGGCGGCCGUAACUAUAACGGUCCUAAGGUAGCGAAAUUCCUUGUCGGGUAAGUUCCGACCCGCACGAAAGGCGUAACGAUUUGGGCACUGUCUCAACGAGAGACUCGGUGAAAUCAUAGUACCUGUGAAGAUGCAGGUUACCCGCGACAGGACGGAAAGACCCCGUGGAGCUUUACUGUAGCCUGAUAUUGAAAUUCGGCACAGCUUGUACAGGAUAGGUAGGAGCCUUUGAAACGUGAGCGCUAGCUUACGUGGAGGCGCUGGUGGGAUACUACCCUAGCUGUGUUGGCUUUCUAACCCGCACCACUUAUCGUGGUGGGAGACAGUGUCA